AAAUUUAAUCUCAAAUUAGCCCCUAUGGAGUAAAAGUCUGUGUAAACAGAUGGACUUUGCACCUUGCCGCAAAGGUCAGCUGACGACAGCACUGUGAGUUUGGCAGCAAAUCCCUUAGUCAGAGAAGGACCUUCCCAUAAGAAAAACUUCGUCUUUAUUUCAGUUCUCGUGACAUGAAUGAGACUUGGCUUCCAUCACAAACUUGGCAGUCAGCGAGGCUUCCAGAGGAUUCUAUUAGCAAUGAUGAUGAUGAUGGUUGAGAUGGUGCAAAGCCCUUUAUACUUUUCUGAGGCUCUUUCACAUGCCUUGUGAAAAAUUCUCACCAUUUAACCUUAAAACACCAUCAGAUAAGAAAUGUAUAUAUGCAAAGUAUUUUUUUUUCCAGGAAAAGAAAAUAGAUGUAAUUCAAUCUGGGUUCUUAAAUUUUUCAGAUCUAAAUGAACUUUAAAAUAUGCUUGGAUAUAUCUCUGAGGAAUAUAACCUUAACAUUUUUCAGUGUUCAACCUAGACUAAUAAUAAUAUCAGCAACUCUGGUUUGGGGAUCACAGAACUCACAAACCAUUCACAUCUGGCACAUUUCAUACCCCUUUCCUGAUUCUACUGUAAGAACAGUCAACAGGAAAUAUGUUCACCGUAAAUGACUGUGAGGCAGUGAUGCAUGCUGCAGCUUCAUUCUUCUGGGAGAGUCUGAGUUUCCACCAUAAGAAAAGUCAGAGAUGUAGUUAUUUCCUGUCUUCCUCUUCACUGAAUCCUUGGACAGUACCCAUUUUAUGUUCUUAAGUGAAAAUGCUUUCUUCACUGUGUGUCUGAAAGUGUACGAACUAUUGUUGGAGUGUCAUAUGGGCAUCUCUCUCAUCUCCCAGAUCGAUGGCAUCGUCUAGGACUUCCCACAUAGACAAGAUAAACGAAAGGCUUCCAUGGACAGGCUUCCCUGAAUGCAAACAUCUUUUGGAAUAAGAAGAAAAAAAAUAAUUUAUGGAAAGACUAGGAUUUCUGCCUACCUUCACUUCAGCAGAGGAAUAAAAAUAAUUCAAGAGCCCAU
Molecule: long non-coding RNA, 1042 nt
Filed under: Homo sapiens (human)
Lineage: Eukaryota; Metazoa; Chordata; Mammalia; Primates; Hominidae
Description: HSALNT0113831
Source: RNAcentral